CUCAGUUCAGUGCGAGCUGUCAUCUCGACUGCGCGGUCACUUGACAGUUGGACCCUGGAAGAAGCGGGCGCAGGAUAGGCGUGGUGAAGUCACAGAGCCUAAUAUUCAUUCAGCGUUGAAGCAAAUGGAUCUCGGUCUCAACUGCUAACACCGUUGCCGAGGUACUACAAAGCGCUCCUACGACAGAUAUAGGCUGCAAUAGUCUUCUAAUUUGUACUGCUAUGAAGUGCCAUCUCCAUUGCCGAGAUACUGCAAAAUGCGCAUGCGACUGAUAGAGGCUGCCUUAGUCUUCCGCCCGUAUUUCAGAAUCGGACACAAACACACGUACACACACCAUAUGGUGAAAAUCGUGCACGCUGUUACUAUGAUUUUUUGAAACAUUUUAUACCUACAUGUUAUAUUUUUACGCAUUUAACUUUUGAUUGUGAUCGUACGUGUUCCCUUUUCAAAUUGUAUACAGAAAUUUACCGUUUUUAAUUUGUUUUCAAAUGUUACCUCAAGGGUUGAUCUCGAUCAUUUUCAAAUCAAUUCAUGGGAUAAGUUCAGAUGUAUCUGAUUCUAUCUGAAAUUCAUUCAUUUUCUCUCCAAUAUUCUUAUUUUAUGCAAAAAUGGAAUUCAAAGUGUUUACAUAUUGCACCUUUCAAUUUUGGAAGUAAAAACGCAAUUUUCACCAUAUCGUUAAUUGAAACUCCAGUAAGACUGCUUACCAAUUUCAUCAACUACCAUAUCAUUUAUCGAAACAAUUGCCUUUGAAGUAAAUUUUGUAUGUUACAUUAUCUGGAAACGUAAUCAUCUGACACCUUUUGAUGAUUAACAUAUUUGCCUGAAUAAAUUUAAAUGCUUUUUAAUUUUUUUAAUUUUUGGAAGAGUUAUUUUGAUAUAAAAGGUUCAGAAUUAAAAGUUUGUUGAUAGUGAUGUAUUUUUAGAAUCUAUCAUCUGUUUGAUUUAAAGUGCAUUCAAUUGCUUAUUAAAAUUCAAUCAAA
Molecule: long non-coding RNA, 983 nt
Organism: Lingula anatina
Lineage: Eukaryota; Metazoa; Brachiopoda; Lingulata; Lingulida; Lingulidae
Source: RefSeq, a predicted model, not a curated record